AUGAAACGGAAGAAGGUUGUCGGAGGGGUGACCUAAUCCCCUCACUAGCUUUCCCUUCUCUUUCCCCAGACAGCAGCCCGAGCCGCCUCCUUCAAGAUCCAGCGCCGCCGCCUGGGGUCCGCCCGGCCACCGGCUACGCUCAGCGGCGCCGCCGCGCCCCUGAUGUGUGCCUGGCCUGGUGCCCCGCAAUAGCCGCUCCUGCCGGGCUCCACGCACCGCCGCAGGUCGCGACCGCCAGCAGCACCACAGCAUCGUGGGGCACGGACGCCGCAGCAGCCGCGUGCGCCGUGUGCGCCGGCCGCUGGCCGCCCCGUCGGGUGCAGCGAGGGAUCGCGGUGGGCGGCGCGAGGGAGCAGAUCGAGGCGGCGCGGGACGAGCUCGACGUGCGGCGGGAGCAAAUCGGGGCUUCCCGCUUGCGCGCUGCAGCCACCUCCCACAAUGCGGCGGCGCUGCUACUUCUCCUCGACGUCCGCCGCCUAAGCCUCCGCCACCUCCUCGGCGCCCCGCGAUAUCUUCAUCUCCGGAGAUGGGUGUGUUAAAGAUCAGGAUCAACCAGAGGCUACUGCACUGCAGACAUUGCCACCGACGCCGACACCCACCCCUCCCGCCCGCCGACACUCCCCUCCCGCCCGCCAACACUCACUGCUGUGUAUUGGACAGAAUCAUCCAUCAGAUGAGGUUCAAAUGCAACUUCUGCGACUCUGGAUACAUCCCCUACAGCAAGUUUCUGGUGCACCUGUGCGACACUACUCCCGCCCAUCUCAAGUCCGUCUUUGCCAGGGGAGAGUGCAUCCUCGCCACAAGUGCCCUUAUGUGUUCUGAAUGCGGCCUUCCUCUCCGACCUCCCAUUUUCAGGCGUCUCCCUUGGAGAACUCCUAUUUGUACUGCCUGCUGCCAUAAUGGUGAUGUCACCAGCUACCGUCACAACCGUGAGCUCGAACACCUCAUCCAAGGCAUCACGGUGAAAUGCGAGGCUUGCAAACAAUACCUUCCAUUCUCCACCUUUGCUUCGCACAAGCUGGUCAACUUGUGUGGGGAAAACAAGCAAAAGGCUCCUUAUGAGGUUGGUAAAAUGGAUGAGAGCAUUGUUCACGGUGAUGAGGUUGGGAAUGAUGAUGACUCAUCUGGUGACAACCAUGGCACGAGUGAGGAUGUGUUCAGUUUUGAAGAUGAUUCAGUGGAGGAAGGGGAGGAAGUUGAAAAGCCUAAGGCUGUGAAAAGGGUGGCUGAGAACGCCUUUAAGACACUACCCUGUGAUAGGGAAGCAAAUAUCACAAUGCCAUAUGGGCAGAAACCAGCAGCUCCUACUGCAGCCCAGGCCAGUGCGUCGCCGUUUCGUCGCCUACCCAUCAUGGCGCCCUCAAAGCCACCUCUACCACCGUUCAUACCUCAUCGCCCAGGCACCCGUCUCUUCCAAGCAGUUGGCAACAAGAAUAGGGCCCAGGCUCCCUCGAAGCCACCUCUACAACUGUUACCUUGUCGCCCAGUCACCCGUAGCAGGAAGAGGGGUAACUUUUAUUUUUUACUUGUAAUUAAAUCAUAUUAUCCAUCAACGCCGCAGCAUGAACUUGUUUCUAAAUUUGGUUUAUAAAAUUUUAUGGUGAUAAAAUCAGCGCUCUUAACUGAUGGCUCAACCAGCGACAAAUGAUGGGAGAUACCAAUAUCUCGUCUCUGGUCGCUUCUUUCGCUCAUAGGCCAGCAGAUCUCCUGUCUUCAGAGCGAUGCUUGAGAAUGAGAUGGAAGAGAGGAGUGGUGUAAUCAAAAUCUAUGAUGUUGGCUAGUCUAGAUGAGCAAAUGGCAUCUGACCUCUUGGUGUUGGCUGAGAAGUAUGAAGUAAAGCACCUAAAGGCCUACUGCGAAAAGUUCAUAACAUCCAAAGUGAACAACGAUAAUCCUAUUGUCCACUAUGCCUUUGCACACCGUCACAGUGCGAAGCAGCUACUGGAGGCAUCCCUUUCUGUGCUCAUGGACAAUAUGUCUACACAAGCGGAUCGCGAAGAGUACAAGGAUCUUGUUGAGAAGGACCCAAGGCUUGCUGUGGAGAUCUAUGAAGCCUAUCUCAACCGGCAAGUCAACACUGCAGCUGGGAAGGACACAGAUUGUAGUAGCAGGAAAUAAUGAUUACGAACAGAACUAGUUGAGUGGUAGUAGUCUGACUAUGCAUUUGUGCAUUCAUGCAAGCAUGGCUUCAACAUUGAAUUCCCCUGCUGUUUAGAUACAAACUGCUGAACUUUGAAGUUUGAAUGGUAAUCAAUUUGAUGGUGUUGCUGGUGAUGGCAUGUUCUGAAUUUUGAUGUUGAUAAUGAAAUGCGAUGUAAUGCCAUCUUGCAAACUGA
This is an RNA transcript of Panicum virgatum (switchgrass), 2336 nucleotides long. RefSeq lists it as uncharacterized. Lineage: Eukaryota; Viridiplantae; Streptophyta; Magnoliopsida; Poales; Poaceae. The record is from RefSeq and is a predicted model, not a curated record. The transcript has 9 exons.